GGGUUGUGAGGUUAAGCGACUAAGCGUACACGGUGGAUGCCCUGGCAGUCAGAGGCGAUGAAGGACGUGCUAAUCUGCGAAAAGCGUCGGUAAGGUGAUAUGAACCGUUACAGCCGGCGAUGUCCGAAUGGGGAAACCCAGUGCAAUUCGUUGCACUAUCGUUAACUGAAUACAUAGGUUAACGAGGCGAACCGGGGGAACUGAAACAUCUAAGUACCCCGAGGAAAAAAAAUCAACCGAGAUUCCCCCAGUAGCGGCGAGCGAACGGGGAGCAGCCCAGAGUCUGAAUCAGCUUGUGUGUUAGUGGAACGGUCUGGAAAGUCCGACGGUACAGGGUGAUAGUCCCGUACACCAAAAUGCACAGGCUGUGAACUCGAAGAGUAGGGCGGGACACGUGGUAUCCUGUCUGAAUAUGGGGGGACCAUCCUCCAAGGCUAAAUACUCCUGACUGACCGAUAGUGAACCAGUACCGUGAGGGAAAGGCGAAAAGAACCCCGGCGAGGGGAGUGAAAAAGAACCUGAAACCGUGUACGUACAAGCAGUGGGAGCACCUUCGGGUGUGACUGCGUACCUUUUGUAUAAUGGGUCAGCGACUUAUAUUCUGUAGCAAGGUUAACCGUAUAGGGGAGCCGCAGGGAAACCGAGUCUUAACUGGGCGUUAAGUUGCAGGGUAUAGACCCGAAACCCGGUGAUCUAGCCAUGGGCAGGUUGAAGGUUGGGUAACACUAACUGGAGGACCGAACCGACUAAUGUUGAAAAAUUAGCGGAUGACUUGUGGCUGGGGGUGAAAGGCCAAUCAAACCGGGAGAUAGCUGGUUCUCCCCGAAAGCUAUUUAGGUAGCGCCUCGUGAAUUCAUCUUCGGGGGUAGAGCACUGUUUCGGCUAGGGGGUCAUCCCGACUUACCAACCCGAUGCAAACUACGAAUACCGAAGAAUGUUAUCACGGGAGACACACGGCGGGUGCUAACGUCCGUCGUGAAGAGGGAAACAACCCAGACCGCCAGCUAAGGUCCCAAAGUCAUGGUUAAGUGGGAAACGAUGUGGGAAGGCACAGACAGCCAGGAUGUUGGCUUAGAAGCAGCCAUCAUUUAAAGAAAGCGUAAUAGCUCACUGGUCGAGUCGGCCUGCGCGGAAGAUGUAACGGGGCUAAACCAUGCACCGAAGCUGCGGCAGCGACACUAUGUGUUGUUGGGUAGGGGAGCGUUCUGUAAGCCUGCGAAGGUGACCUGUGAGGGUUGCUGGAGGUAUCAGAAGUGCGAAUGCUGACAUAAGUAACGAUAAAGCGGGUGAAAAGCCCGCUCGCCGGAAGACCAAGGGUUCCUGUCCAACGUUAAUCGGGGCAGGGUGAGUCGACCCCUAAGGCGAGGCCGAAAGGCGUAGUCGAUGGGAAACAGGUUAAUAUUCCUGUACUUGGUGUUACUGCGAAGGGGGGACGGAGAAGGCUAUGUUAGCCGGGCGACGGUUGUCCCGGUUUAAGCAUGUAGGCUGGUUAUCCAGGCAAAUCCGGAUAAUCAAGGCUGAGGUGUGAUGACGAGGCACUACGGUGCUGAAGUAACAAAUGCCCUGCUUCCAGGAAAAGCCUCUAAGCAUCAGGUAACAUCAAAUCGUACCCCAAACCGACACAGGUGGUCAGGUAGAGAAUACCAAGGCGCUUGAGAGAACUCGGGUGAAGGAACUAGGCAAAAUGGUGCCGUAACUUCGGGAGAAGGCACGCUGGUGUGUAGGUGAAGUCCCUGCGGAUGGAGCUGAGACCAGUCGAAGAUACCAGCUGGCUGCAACUGUUUAUUAAAAACACAGCACUGUGCAAACACGAAAGUGGACGUAUACGGUGUGACGCCUGCCCGGUGCCGGAAGGUUAAUUGAUGGGGUUAUCCGUAAGGAGAAGCUCUUGAUCGAAGCCCCGGUAAACGGCGGCCGUAACUAUAACGGUCCUAAGGUAGCGAAAUUCCUUGUCGGGUAAGUUCCGACCUGCACGAAUGGCGUAAUGAUGGCCAGGCUGUCUCCACCCGAGACUCAGUGAAAUUGAACUCGCUGUGAAGAUGCAGUGUACCCGCGGCAAGACGGAAAGACCCCGUGAACCUUUACUAUAGCUUGACACUGAACAUUGAGCCUUGAUGUGUAGGAUAGGUGGGAGGCUUUGAAGCGUGGACGCCAGUCUGCGUGGAGCCAACCUUGAAAUACCACCCUUUAAUGUUUGAUGUUCUAACGUUGGCCCCUGACCGGGGUUGCGGACAGUGUCUGGUGGGUAGUUUGACUGGGGCGGUCUCCUCCCAAAGCGUAACGGAGGAGCACGAAGGUUAGCUAAUCCUGGUCGGACAUCAGGAGGUUAGUGCAAUGGCAUAAGCUAGCUUGACUGCGAGCGUGACGGCGCGAGCAGGUGCGAAAGCAGGUCAUAGUGAUCCGGUGGUUCUGAAUGGAAGGGCCAUCGCUCAACGGAUAAAAGGUACUCCGGGGAUAACAGGCUGAUACCGCCCAAGAGUUCAUAUCGACGGCGGUGUUUGGCACCUCGAUGUCGGCUCAUCACAUCCUGGGGCUGAAGUAGGUCCCAAGGGUAUGGCUGUUCGCCAUUUAAAGUGGUACGCGAGCUGGGUUUAGAACGUCGUGAGACAGUUCGGUCCCUAUCUGCCGUGGGCGCUGGAGAAUUGAGGGGGGCUGCUCCUAGUACGAGAGGACCGGAGUGGACGCAUCACUGGUGUUCGGGUUGUCAUGCCAAUGGCACUGCCCGGUAGCUAAAUGCGGAAGAGAUAAGUGCUGAAAGCAUCUAAGCACGAAACUUGCCCCGAGAUGAGUUCUCCCUGAGACUUUAAGUCUCCUGAAGGAACGUUAAAGACGAUGACGUUGAUAGGCCGGGUGUGUAAGCGCAGCGAUGCGUUGAGCUAACCGGUACUAAUGAACCGUGAGGCUUAACCUUACAACGCCGAAGGUGUUU
This 2929-nucleotide ribosomal RNA is filed under the name Klebsiella pneumoniae. Its description in RNAcentral is "bacterial LSU rRNA". It matches the Rfam family "Bacterial large subunit ribosomal RNA". Lineage: Bacteria; Pseudomonadati; Pseudomonadota; Gammaproteobacteria; Enterobacterales; Enterobacteriaceae. The record is from RNAcentral.